This 515-nucleotide ribosomal RNA is filed under the name Liopholis kintorei. Its description in RNAcentral is "partial 16S ribosomal RNA". It matches the Rfam family "Bacterial large subunit ribosomal RNA", at positions 1837 to 2593 of the family's 2925-position model. Lineage: Eukaryota; Metazoa; Chordata; Lepidosauria; Squamata; Scincidae. The record is from RNAcentral.
AAACAAGUAUUAAAGGUCCCGCCUGCCCAGUGAAACAUUUUUAACGGCCGCGGUAUCCUAACCGUGCAAAGGUAGCGUAAUCACUUGUCUUCUAAAUAAAGACUAGUAUGAACGGCUAAAUGAGGACAAAACUGUCUCUUGCAGCUAAUCAGUGAAACUGAUCUCCCAGUACAAAAGCUGGGAUAAACCCAUAAGACGAGAAGACCCUGUGGAGCUUUAAACCCGCCGCUAACACCCAUUAACAACAAUGUACCUAGCCUAAGGUUUUAAGUUGGGGCGACUUCGGAACAAAAUAAAACUUCCGAGCACAGAACCACCACUUCUCACUAAGGCCAACAAGCCAAAGAAAAACCCGACCCAGUCACACUGAUCAACGAACCAAGUUACCCCAGGGAUAACAGCGCUAUCUUCUUCAAGAGUCCCUAUCGACAAGAAGGUUUACGACCUCGAUGUUGGAUCAGGACACCCAAAUGGUGCAGCCGCUAUUAAAGGUUCGUUUGUUCAACGAUUCACAG